GGGGGCAUAGCUCAGUGGUAGAGCGCGUGCUUAGCAUGCACGAGGUCCUGGGUUCAACCCCCAGUACCUCCA
Molecule: transfer RNA, 72 nt
Filed under: Macaca mulatta (Rhesus monkey)
Lineage: Eukaryota; Metazoa; Chordata; Mammalia; Primates; Cercopithecidae
Description: tRNA-Ala (AGC) (tRNA-Ala-AGC-6-1)
Rfam family: tRNA
About the family: Transfer RNA (tRNA) molecules are approximately 80 nucleotides in length. Their secondary structure includes four short double-helical elements and three loops (D, anti-codon, and T loops).
Source: RNAcentral